This 460-nucleotide ribosomal RNA is filed under the name uncultured bacterium. RNAcentral's name for it is "partial 16S ribosomal RNA". It matches the Rfam family "Bacterial small subunit ribosomal RNA", at positions 338 to 795 of the family's 1533-position model. The record is from RNAcentral.
CCUACGGGGGGCAGCAGUGAGGAAUCUUGGUCAAUGGACGAGAGUCUGAACCAGCCAAGUAGCGUGAAGGAUGACUGCCCUAUGGGUUGUAAACUUCUUUUAUAUGGGAAUAAAAUGUUCCACGUGUGGGAUUUUGUAUGUACCAUAUGAAUAAGGAUCGGCUAACUCCGUGCCAGCAGCCGCGGUAAUACGGAGGAUCCGAGCGUUAUCCGGAUUUAUUGGGUUUAAAGGGAGCGUAGGUGGAUUGUUAAGUCAGUUGUGAAAGUUUGCGGCUCAACCGUAAAAUUGCAGUUGAAACUGGCAGUCUUGAGUACAGUAGAGGUGGGCGGAAUUCGUGGUGUAGCGGUGAAAUGCUGAGAUAUCACGAAGAACUCCGAUUGCGAAGGCAGUUCACUGGACUGCAACUGACACUGAGGCUCGAAAGUGUGGGUAUCAAACAGGAUUAGAUACCCCAGUAGUC